GACAAAACCAGCUUAAUACUGCUCAAAACAACAAUUUUCUCACCAUCUCUCUCUUCCCCAUGUCCUUCCCGUCAUCUCUUUCCCUUCAUAUUGACUUAAGGAUUGCCACAAGCGUCAACGUUGGAGAUGCGCCAGGCACAUUUGAAGCAUUUGCUGCUGUAGGCUGAGACUCCGAGUGAACCGAACUUGAAGGGGAAAAAGUCGACUGCCCAUAUUACGAAGAUAGAAUUAAGUCUACUUUUAAAUCACGGAUCCAUAAAUAGUUUUCAGUUAUUAGAAGUUGUUCAGCUUGCCUCUGACACACAAGAGUGGACAUUGUUCUCCCUCAACGGAAUGGCAAUAUGAGCAUGCUCCUUACAUGGUGAAUCUGCAUUUAGCAAGAAAAAAAAUCACAGAUUUUGCACCUUCCUUGAUAUGAAAAGAAUUUAAAAAAAGUACAGCAAAUACCAAACAGAAAAGAAACGUGCCUGCAAUUUCUGCAACAGUUGCUCUAGGAGCCCCGUGAUGAGAAUUUGCUUCACAAUUUUUGAUAUCAUGAUUGAUCCUGAUUUUUCCAAUGGCCCGUUAACAUGAGAGAAAAAUUCAACCACUAGAUAGAACCAAGUGCGGUUGCUGGACCCCACGAAUUUUAGGAAUUUCAGAAGGUCAUUCUAACAAAUGAUGUACGCCCUGCUUGCUGUAUGCGCAUAUAAUGUAUAUAUGUGUGGGCCAUCGAGGGGCAAAAGUGAAAGUGCACGAAUUUUAACGUUAUUUUACUAACUUCGUGAAAAUAACGUUAAAAGCUGAGGACGGUUAAUUUUGCAUCAUGUGGUAGCGUUGAUAGCUGAGAGACAAAAGGGUACAUUCACUACUCGGUCUUUGUCCCGAGUGUUGAGUGUUAUGUGCCUUAUGUCCAAGGCUUAAUGCAAAACUACUAUCGAGCCGGGGGUCUCACUGGAAGCAGCCUCUCUAUUCCUACGGGGUAGAGGUAAGGCUGUCUACAUCUUACCCUCCUCAGACCCUACCUUAGCUUUGCUAUUGGUGGGAUUAACUGAGUAUGAUGAUGAUGAUGAUGAUGAUGAUGAUUCUAACAAAUGAUGACACAACAGGGCUGCAAACGAACUGAACGAUGUUCAUUUGUUAAGGAAUAUAUGUGUUCACGAACUGUUUAUGAACACUUACCGAACGAGAUUUUAUGCUCACGUUCGUUUGUUAAGGAAAUGAACAAAUUUGUGUUUGUUUGUUAAUUUAGGCAAAGAACGCAAACGAGCGUUCAUGAACACAAAUGGAAACAAACGAACACAAACAAGUGUUCAUGAACAUAAUAUAUAAUAAACUUAUUGAUGCCGUUAUAAAAUAUAUUUUAUUUGUUGGAGUUUUGAAGUAAUUAAAUAAAAUAUACAAACUGAAAAUACCAAUGAAGUUUUGAACACGAACGAACACGUUAUCGAACGUUCACGAACAUAGAUGAACGAACGCGACCUCUGUUCAUGUUCGUUCAUUUACGAAACGAACGAACACAAACAAACUUCCCGCUGAAAGGUUCACGAGCUGUUCGCUGAACGUUAGGUUCGUUUGCAGCCCGACACAAGACCAUAAUGUUCUGCCUUGUCCUGUAUCUGACCAUGAUGUGCACAUUAUACAAGAUUAACUACUUACAUGACAGUUCAUUUAUAAGCAUGUUCGUUUCUUUUUUGUUUCAACUUUCAUGAUACGGUGAUAGCAUGAGAAAUCGUCAUGUUUAUGUCCUAAUAUUUAUGAAUAGUUUUUUUCCUACGCGCUGCCGCUACCUGUCAUCUUCUCCGUCUUUUUCUGUUGUGUUGUUUUCUUCGUUUGCCAAGAUUAAUGAGUAAGCAGCUCUAUCCUGCAUCAAGGUAAGGCAUCAUCUGUUAUCGAUAAGUUGUGGUAGAUUGCUUUGAACUACGUUAUUCUGUAGUAACAAAUCUCUGACCUCUUCAUCCAUAUGUGUCAUAGUUUCUUGAACAACUUUAAAAGAAACUUCCAGCAUCCCUAGUUCCGAACGCAAGGCCUGAUAAUUUUAAGAAAAAAACUAUUGUGUGAAACAGAGACUAAACAGUAAACAGGCUUUAGUGCAUACCUUGUUCUCUAAAAUUAAGGUCUCAAUGAUCCCUUCUUUCAUUAGCAUAGCUUCCUGAAGGUAAGGUUGGUUAAGCCAAAUUGACAUUGCUGAUUAAGUUUUUGUAAAAUAUAAAACAAAACAUCUAGAUAUAAGAUGAUAUGGAUAUCUCCUCUAUUUUUGACCGACGUUGAUCGGUUAUUUUUGCUGUCUCCAGCUGUGUCUGGAGCUCUGCAAUCACCCUAUCUUUUCUGUACAACUCAUUCUCGUUACUUUUGAGUUUAGCUUCAAGGUCAUUGUUUUUUUCUGCACAAAACAGACUGUCAAUAUUCGGUAUCUUAAACAUGGCAGUAAUGAAAAUGAAACAACUGCGUUACCAAUGAGUAAGCCCUCAAAUUCACAUACUUUAUCCAUUUGUAUCUUUAAACGAGCCACUGAGAAUAGAAAGAGAGUUUAUCAGUGACGCAAAAUAGGUGAUAUAAGCGAUUGACCCUUCAAGUGAAACAGGACAUGCCUACUUCCUCUUUCUCAUCAACAGCAUGUUGUGCGUUAUCCACUACUUGCUUGACUAAGGACGCCUCCUUGCGUAUCGAGUCCAAUGAUAAAAGAUGAGUGUUUAUUUUCUCGGAAAGCGUGGCAAUCUUUCUAUCUCUGGAUUCAAUGGAUCUUUUCAUUUCACAGGUAGAUUCCUGCGAGAAAAUCACAUUUAGAUUAUAUAUAAGCUUCUCGUCUCAGGUCGUUUUAACAAGAAUCCUCACUUGUUUUCGACACCGACCAUUUGAAUCGCGUAAUAACAACUUGCAGAUACAAAAUAAACCGCAUAAUAACAACUUGCAGAUAAGACUUUCACUUAGAAAAACAUGUUUAUCGUAUGUAUAUUUGGGACCUGGUAAGCAUUGAGGAAAGCUUCCUUAGCUUGUAAUAUGCAGUUUAUAGUUUCCUUAAGUUCUUUAUGCUUGCUUUGAAGUAGAUAAUUUUCAUCUUCAAGGAACUGCACCUGUCCACCACAAACCCUAAAUUCAAAACAACUCCUCCAAGUGUGUAUCCAAUAUACAUUUAUUUAGGCAUCAUUAGUUAUUCGAUAAGGCAUACGAUAGGAAAAUUUGUGUAUUUAUUUAUAUUAAAGCAGCAGAAGAUGAUAAAGAAAUAGAUACAUUAUAUUAUACCUUGCGUUGGAGUUGUUGGGUGAGUUGAAUAGAUGAAGCUAACUCUGCUUCCAACUCCGUUAUCUUUCUACAUGAUUCUUCUUCACUUUGCUUCCAUUUCUGAACUCAAUUUGAACAACUUAGUUAUACGAAGAAUUUGUGCUAAAAGUUGAUUUAUAAGAACCUGGAAUUGACUGUGAAGUUGAUCGGAAGAAACAGCUCCUUUUUCCUGAAGAGAAUGAUGGCGGUUGAUUGUAAGGAUGAAGAAUCGAUUUAAGAGGAUGGAGAUUAGAAAGAAUAUUACUUACUCUGAGUUCACGAACUUCCGUGAUUAGGGUUUGGAGCUUCAGCUUGAAUUCCGAGACUUUGCUCUCCUUCAUUUUGCCGCUAACAAUUUCCACUGCAACUCUGUUUUUAUUGUUUCGUUUCAAAUUCACUUAAUUACACGUGUACUCCUUGUGUACCUGAUUACUUUUUGUUGGAAUCGCGAAUUUGUAUACUUUC
This 3705-nucleotide long non-coding RNA is filed under the name Helianthus annuus (common sunflower). Its description in RNAcentral is "hypothetical non coding rna". The record is from RNAcentral. Lineage: Eukaryota; Viridiplantae; Streptophyta; Magnoliopsida; Asterales; Asteraceae.